GUCUGGGUAGUUUAAUUAAAAUAUUGAUUUGUGGUAUCAGAGAUAUAGCGUUUAUCUUAGGCU
This 63-nucleotide transfer RNA is filed under the name Sigmella normalis. Its description in RNAcentral is "tRNA-His". The record is from RNAcentral. Lineage: Eukaryota; Metazoa; Arthropoda; Insecta; Blattodea; Blattellidae.